CCUACGGGAGGCAGCAGUGGGGAAUAUUGGACAAUGGGCGCAAGCCUGAUCCAGCCAUGCCGCGUGAGUGAUGAAGGUCUUAGGAUUGUAAAGCUCUUUCACCCGUGACGAUAAUGACGGUAGCGGGAGAAGAAGCCCCGGCUAACUUCGUGCCAGCAGCCGCGGUAAUACGAAGGGGGCUAGCGUUGUUCGGAAUUACUGGGCGUAAAGCGCACGUAGGCGGACAUUUAAGUCAGGGGUGAAAUCCCGGGGCUCAACCCCGGAACUGCCUUUGAUACUGGGUGUCUUGAGUUCGGAAGAGGUCGGUGGAAUUGCGAGUGUAGAGGUGAAAUUCGUAGAUAUUCGCAGGAACACCAGUGGCGAAGGCGGCCGACUGGUCCGAGACUGACGCUGAGGUGCGAAAGCGUGGGGAGCAAACAGGAUUAGAUACCCUUGUAGUC
This 440-nucleotide ribosomal RNA is filed under the name uncultured bacterium. Its description in RNAcentral is "bacterial SSU rRNA". It matches the Rfam family "Bacterial small subunit ribosomal RNA", at positions 338 to 795 of the family's 1533-position model. The record is from RNAcentral.